AAUCAAGUGCCUUAAGGGUGUUCGGUGGAUGCCUUGGCGCUGAGAGGCGAUGAAGGACGUGCUACGCUGCGAUAAGCCGUGGGGAGCUGCGAAGAAGCUUUGAUCCGCGGAUUUCCGAAUGGGGAAACCCACCUUCGAUAGCCGGAACUCCAAGACCUUGGUCUUGGGGUUCGAUCGGGAGACUGUGAGACUUCAAGAUCAUGACGAUGCAAGUCGUCGAGGUUUUGGAUUUCCGGUUAUCAAGAGAAGGUAUGAGACUUCUGAAUACAUAGGAGGUUUCAAGCGAACCCAGGGAACUGAAACAUCUAAGUACCUGGAGGAAAGGACAUCAACCGAGACUCCGCUAGUAGUGGCGAGCGAACGCGGACCAGGCCAGUCAUGAAUGUAAGCCAACCAGAACCUGUCAGGAAAGCAGGGCCUCAGAGGGUGAUAGCCCCGUAUGGGUAAUGCGAACAUUCAUGCUCGAGUACGGCGGAACAC
Molecule: ribosomal RNA, 480 nt
Filed under: Bradyrhizobium sp. USDA 4362
Lineage: Bacteria; Pseudomonadati; Pseudomonadota; Alphaproteobacteria; Hyphomicrobiales; Nitrobacteraceae
Description: bacterial LSU rRNA
Rfam family: Bacterial large subunit ribosomal RNA
Source: RNAcentral